AACGGCCAUACCAUGCUGAAUAUACCGGUUCUCAUUAGAUUACCGAAGUCAAGCAUCAUUGGGCGGUACUUGCAGGUGGGUGACCACCUGGGAACACCGCGUGCCGUU
This is a non-coding RNA of Caerostris darwini, 108 nucleotides long. Lineage: Eukaryota; Metazoa; Arthropoda; Arachnida; Araneae; Araneidae. The record is from the annotation of a GenBank genome assembly.